Molecule: transfer RNA, 71 nt
Filed under: bacterium
Lineage: Bacteria
Description: tRNA-Gly
Rfam family: tRNA
About the family: Transfer RNA (tRNA) molecules are approximately 80 nucleotides in length. Their secondary structure includes four short double-helical elements and three loops (D, anti-codon, and T loops).
Source: RNAcentral
GCGGGAUUAGUAUAGUGGUAUUAUGUAACCUUCCCAAGGUUGAGACACGGGUUCAAUUCCCGUAUCCCGCU